RNA transcript from Rhipicephalus sanguineus (brown dog tick), 7376 nucleotides. It is a transcript of the gene named DNA ligase 3, with no coding region annotated. Lineage: Eukaryota; Metazoa; Arthropoda; Arachnida; Ixodida; Ixodidae. The transcript has 4 exons. The record is from RefSeq and is a predicted model, not a curated record.
CGUAUGCGUGUUUACGCGCGCCCACUGCCUGUAGUAACGAUUUGUUAUCGCGCUGUGCAGUUGCGAGAAAAUCGUGUUUACUGCGCCUCGAUCAUGGAAUGACAGUCGUCGUGUUCCCCAGUAAAAGCACAUCGACGGUAAUAUGUAACCCAUGUACGUAGUUUCCCACCGCCGUGUCACUCCUAAGCGCGAUCCCCGACAAACCUUUCCUCCCAGUUUGCGCUCUUGCGUAGUUUUAUAAAAAAAAUGUCGGAGACUCGCUUCUGCAUCGAGUACGCUAAACGGGGCACCGCGGGUUGCAAGAAGUGUAAGCAGAAGAUCGAAAAGCAAGCGCUGCGCAUCGGCAAGAUCGUGCCCAACCCGUUCUCAGACAGCGGCGGCGAAAUGAAGCAGUGGUUUCACGUGGAGUGCAUCUUCGAUCAGCUGUCGCGGGCACGCGCGACCACGAAGAAGAUUGAAGACGCGGGAGACCUCGAAGGUUGGAGCGAGAUCGAACCUGAUGACCGCAAGCUAGUCCUGAAGCACAUCAACGAACUGUCCGAGAAGACCGGAGUCACUGUAAGCCCCGGUAAGCGGAAGACCAACAACGCCGGCAGCACGCCUUCCAAGAAGCAGAAACUGCAGACGACUCUGUCUCAGGGUUUGGACGAUACGGAGGAACAGCUAGACCUGGGUGACCUGGAAGCGUCGCCCGGGGCGACAAAGUCCAGCAAGGACGACGCCUUCAAGGAGUUCCGUAAGCUGUGCGCCGCCAUCUCCGAGGAGUCUACCUACACGGGCAAGACGGCGAUAGUGGCGAGGUUCUUCAAGGAGGGCUGCACCCGCAAGGGCUUCACGGGAGACCUCUACCUCUGGGUCAAGUUCCUCCUUCCCAUGGUCAACAAGCGGGUGUACAACCUCCAGAGCAAGCAGCUCGUCAAAGUCUUCAGUCGCAUCUUCGGCAACGGCUGCCACGAGGAGAUGAUCGAGGACCUCGAACAGGGUGACGUCGCACGCACCGUCGGCGCCUUCUUCGAGAAGUACGGCUCCCCGGCCAGCAAGAGCACCCUGACAAUGCAGGACGUUGACGCCUAUUUAGAACGUCUCUCUCGACUCACCCGAGAAGACGACCAGACGCAACUCCUGAGGCACCUGAGUGCCCGCUGCACUGCCAACGACCUGGUCAUGAUCGUCAGGCUCAUCAAGCACGACAUACGCAUCAACUCCGGUCCGAAACACAUCCUGGAGGCACUGCACCCAGACGCGUACCAGGCCUUCCAGGCGUCCCGUAACCUGGAGGACGUCGUGAGGACUUCGAAGGAGGGAAAUGUCAGUGUCUCGGCUAGCCUGAUGACCCCGAUGAUACCCAUGCUGGCAGAGCCCUGCGGUUCGGUGGACGACGCGUUCGCAAAGUGCCCCAACGGCAUGUACGCCGAGAUCAAGUACGACGGCGAGCGCGUCCAACUGCACAAGAAGGGCUCUGAGUUCCUGUUCUUCAGCAGAAGCCUGAAGCCGGUGUCUGCGCAUAAGGUGCAGCACCUCAAAGACUUCAUUCCAAAGGCUUUCAAGCACGGCCACGACCUGGUCCUGGACAGCGAAAUCCUCAUGGUGGACACGCACACAGAAAAGCCGCUGCCCUUUGGAACGCUGGGCAUCCACAAGCGGGCAGCCUUCAAGGACGCGUCCGUGUGUCUCUUCGUCUUUGACUGCCUCCACUACAACGGCAAGAGCCUGCUGGAUCGGACACUUCGUGAGCGCCGAGAGAUCCUCAAGGCUAACAUGACACCCAUCAAGAACCACGUCAUGUUCAGUGAGCAGCACGUGAUCACAACGCGUGAGAAAUUGCGAGACCUCAUCAAUGAUGUCCUCUCUCAGGGCCUGGAAGGGCUCGUGCUCAAGAACCCCGACGGCGUUUACGAACCGGGAAAGCGGCAUUGGCUCAAGGUCAAGAAGGACUACCUUAAGGGUGGCAGCAUGGCAGACUCGGCCGACCUCGCAGUGCUGGGAGCGUACUUCGGCACCGGAAGCAACGGCGGCAUCAUGUCCAUCUUCCUGAUGGGGUGCUGGAAUCCGGCGACCGGCCGCUGGUGCACCGUCACCAAGGUCCACGGCGGCCACGACGACAAGACGCUCGAGCGGCUCCAGACGGAGCUCGAGAUGAAGAAGAUAUCGCGGCAGAUGGAGCGUGUGCCGGCAUGGCUCGACGUCGAGAAGGUCCUGGUGCCAGACUUCGUCGCCAAGGAUCCGGAUACGACACAGGUCUGGGAGAUCGCCGGCGCCGAGUUCACUCGAGCUGAGGUGCACACCGCGGACGGCAUCUCGAUCCGCUUCCCGCGGGUGACACGCAUCCGGACAGACAAGACGCCAAAGGAGGCGACGACGCUUCCGGAGCUGCGCAAGAUGUUCCAAAACUCUAGGGCGAAGCCGUUUGACCUUGACCUCGGUGACGACGAAGACAGUGUAGGGAACGCUUCGUUUGCCUCGACCGACAAGUCGUCGUCAUCGGAGAAGUCCGCUUCGCCGAGGAAAAGCAAGUCUUCGAAAAGAUCUGACUCUCCGAAACAGACCUCCUCAUUGGUUUCAAAACAAGAGCCUGAAAACAGCGCCACAAAGACUUUGUUCGCCUCUACUGAAAAGUCCACUUCAUCGAGGAAAAACAAUUCCUUGAAAAGAUCAGAUUCUCCGAUGCAGACACCACCGUUGGUUUCGAAACGAGAGCCUACACCGGGCAGAAAGCAUCAAGAAGAGGGAGCACCGAAGAUUAUCGUCAAAACUGAAGCGUCUGCAGAAAAGAAGAAGAUUUGCGACUUUCCCGACGUCUUCACGGGUGUCCGAAUGUGUCUUCCUCCUAGCAGGCUGCUAAGAAGGUACUUCGUUGCGUAUGACGGUACGCUCGCGGAGAGCGAGAGUUACGAUGUGACCCACACGUUGUCCUCACCAAACGUGGGUGUUAGACAGUCCGCACGUUCGGCAAAGACUGUUACCGUAGAUUGGCUGUGGGACAGCAUAAGACGACAGAAACGUCAGGACGAAGCGAGGUACUCUGCGUGAAUGCGAUUCUCGUUUUUGUGCCUUGGGCUCCUUUCGUAUGCUUUUGGAGCUGUGGUCUGCACGUGUAAAAUCUGACGUUGGAAGUUGCGAAGCUAUGGUGCCGAGAUUCGUGCACACUGUAUCCUUUGUGAAUGUUUGCAUUUGCCUUCAAAGAAGACUGCUGUAUCAUUCAUCCACUUAUGCCGCUGCCUUGUGUGUUCAUCAACGUACUUGUACAGUUUUUUCUUGUGUAACUGCUUGUGGAGCCAUUGUUGCUUUAUCCUGAAUAUCCUUAUUUCCGUCAAAAUGUGUUACAGUUGAACCCUUUUAUAUCAACGUUCAUAUACUGCAAAAUGUUAUUGUUAUAACCACAUUGCAAGGAAGAAAAAGAAAACAGGAGGGCAGAGCUGCUGUUACUACAUUAGGGAUCCAGUGCUCCUUUCAGCCGUGGAUUGUGUUGGCUCAUUUAUCUCGAUAACUGAGCCUGGCUUCUUCUUUGCGAAGUGGACGUACAGCUUUUCCUACUAUAGCUGAUUGACAAUAGCAGCCGUGGUGAUCCUCCUGAUAGCGACCAAUCCGCAUGCUCCUAUAACUUGAAACAAGCGGCGAUCACGGUGGGCGGCUUUUCGAAAGCUUGAAGCCAGCGGCUAUUUGGGCUCACCCAAUCUCUAUAUGCUCCACAAACAACGAGAUAAGGUGACAGGCUGCCUAUUUUCUCAGCUGCACUGGAUAGAUAAGACGUGUGUACAUUCAAUCAAUUCCCCUCUUUUCCUGAUUACUGCACCUGUGGGUCCAGGAAGCCGUCUACCUUUCUGACUCAUCCAUGCAUGCUUCUUUUUUACACUCGCAACUUUCGACUUUUGGAACAGGAUAAAAUCUUAUCAUACAUGAACUUCCCACAGAACACUAAAUUUCAGAGUCCGUUUGUGGAUGAAGGGUUGGGAGGGAGCGUGGAGACAGGCGUGUGAGCUUGGUGAUAUGAAGGCUGGAAAACCAGCCCUGUUCAAAUAACACAAGGGGCAUGUGGUACGCAGAUUGGUAAAAAAACUCGUGUUGUCUUUUUUUGUCUUUCUGGCAUUUCGUGCAGACUUCAACUAGCCACAUAUAAUUUCUACAGCCGGUAAUUUGGCAUAGGUACGUUGCAGUAAACAGUAUUUCUCGCAUAAAAAACACAAAUGUUUGUAGUGCAGCAGUUGCUGAUUGUUAUAGCCAAUGUACCAUUCAAACAAGAAUUGUUAUAAGUUGCGGAUUCGACUGCAUUUUCGCUGCUGCCUCUUCCUCGGGAAGCAAGAGCUAUUAAGGGUUUUAUCUUAUAAGCCUUCCUUUAUGUUUAAUAGGCGCUGGUUGUGAACCUUGCCGUAGACUAUGCCCACACCAAACUUAUUGCAGACAAAAGUAAUAAUCAUAAGCAUGGGAGCACAAAUGACUUGGUGGCUUACAUACAAGUGUACGUAUGCUUUUGCAUCUGUGUGUAUGUGCUAGCGCAUGUGUGUAAGAUGAAAUUUCACUAAUAAUAUUACCUCUCAAUUGUACUUAGUUGCAAAUGAAAAUUUGCACUGUGCACAAUUUUUUGGUUUUCUGUUUUUGUCAGUUUGUGCAUCUUGAAGAGGGCAUUUCUCUUACAGCUAAACACCAAUUAACUGAUGAUACCACGUCGGUGGAUGCAUUUUUCUGUCAACAAGAAUUUUGAAGCAUUGGCUGUUAUGUUGUACAGGCUUGUUCCUUGGCUGCUGUUGCCCUUCUUGGAACACGGUCCAAAACAUAAUGCUAAUCGAAACGAUAGGCUUAACAUACUGUUUUUAGUAGCUGUUGCAUGUCUCAAAGUAUGUUUGGAUGGAUAUGUUGACCGAAUUGUGAGGCUGGGCAGUGACGAAGACGAAAAAUGCCUUUCAUUUCUGUACAUAGUUUUCACAUGCCUGCACAUAUUCUUUCCUCACUUCUAUUCUUGCACAAACUCCUCGUUCACAUUAGGCAGGGCCCCUGUAACACCCCUGUUAAUUAUUUGUAAAAUGUACUUUUCAUGUUUCCAUGUGGGUUACUUGGUCCUCUAAGAUGUUUGUGAAAUGUUUGUUCAUUGCUUUGAUUUACAGAGGAACACAUAUUAAUUAUUGUCACUUUUACAACACAAAUAUUGAGCACUUGGGGUGCUACCUGGUCUGAAAUGGUCUUUAAAAGGUUCAGCACGAAAAUCGGCCACAGUGGCUUCUUUCUCCACAGUGCCCAAUUUUUGCACUGAACCUUCUGAAUAUGGAAUACCAAAUGGUCCGCUCCUGGUCCCCCCUUAAAUGGUCAGUAGUACUUGUAGUACUAGUAUUUACAAAUUUCGAUGCGUUGGUUACAUCACACAUUGUGUGCCCCCUAACGAACUAAGCAACACCACUUGUUCACGAAUUUUUCAUCUCUUCUAACUCCCACCUUCCCCUGAACUUCUGCCUCUUAAUGAACUAGAAGUAUUUGCGAGAUAUAUUUACACAUGUUAAUACAUUUUUGUAUGUUAACCACCUAAAAAAGUCUUCUUGCCACCAACUGAUCUUAUGUGCAGUGUUACUGCAGUGUGCACUAAACCAGUUAACUGACACAGCUGGAUGUUACACUUAGAAAACUGCAAGAAUUUUGUGUUUUUCACUGCACCGUUCUGUAAUUGCAGUGCUGUGUAGUUGUGGUUUUAUGCACAGCAGGGACAACGCCAAGAAGAGACUGGGUGGGGGGAGGUAGCCUCCCCGCUCGCUUGGUGUGCCAGUUCCUUUAUAGGUGCACCCCCCCCCCUUCUUUUUUCUGUAGAUCUGUAGGUACUCUCUCAUGGUAGCUGGCCCCCCCAGGGGAAAAACAUAGUGGUGCGGCCCCUUAUGCAGACAAGUUUUGAAUGUUCUGCGUAAAGAACCUCACAUAAUUUUUUGGUAUGUAUAGUUCAAGGCGAAACACGCAUUUGUGAGGAAAAAUGUUACCAAAGAAAGUGUUUUGUGGACCUGAUUUAGAGAAUACUAAUAUUUGCUUAGACACUAGUACUAAAUCCCUAAUGCAAUGCACAUAUGACUAAACAACAAAUUCUCUUGUAUAUUUGUAGCAGUGGAUAAUUUGUUACAAACUUCAACGCAAAAAAGACACGGGGACGAAGCAAGAGAAUGACAAGCACAGACUUUGUCGUCCUGCUUCGUCCCUGUGCCUGUUUUGUGCUGCAGUUGUUAGCAAAGAUGCACCAAUACAGCCAACUCGUCACUUUAAUGUAGAAUAAUUUCUAGCUUCAACAAUGCGUAUUCUGUCAAUACCAUAAUAUAUGCUGUGUGUGUGUGUGUGUGCGCGUGCGUGCAACUACCAAACGUACAUGCGAAAUUUUCAUGUUGUGUUCCAGCCAGGCUGAGAAAGCCUGAAUAAAUGCUUCUAUGUGGUUUUCUAUUCUCCACAUUUGAUCACAUCUGAAUGCAAAGUGCCUCUAUGAAUUGUGCACAUAUAUAGUACUACCAUACUUAUCGAAAUUACAAGCUAAGAAUAUUCUUUAGCAAGAACUACAAUGCAUGCUUCAGUAAACUUUCGAGUAGUCUUCGCAGGCUUUACACUUUGUCCUUGUCGCAGGAUAUUGGGAGAACAGGAAGCUCUGUUUGUCCCAACCAGGGCUCGAUCUUGCAUCCGCAAUGCGUGAGCGAUCAUUGUCAUCAGUGUCAUCAACAAGCAGCUGCCAUGACUCCUUGUGUCAUUCCUGUCUUUCGUUUGGGAGGACCUGUACAGGCCUUUAUCACAGCGGCACUACAGAGCUCAACACUGUGUUUGUCUAUGCUUUCCGUUGGCGCCAUUGUCUUAUGUUAUCAGGCCACUUCCCCAUCGUAAGCUUCACUUGGUCCGUACAGCAAACAAAAAUAAAGUCACCCAUCUCCACUAGUUGGAAUUGCACUUGUUCACUUGUGACAAUGUGUACCAAUCACUGCAAUGUCAUACCAACUUUCAUGCAAGGUUUCGUGCACCGUGUGCAAAUGGUGCAUCAUACGAGUGGUGGUGGCUAUGCAUGUAUUGCAGUGACCAGAGUAAGCAAUACUGCAAGUUGUUCUUGAGGGGAUGGCAGUGUCUGCUGUGCAAGCCUUCUGCUGACACCAUACAGUUUCCUGCUAUAAUAUUUUAAUAUAUUGCAUCUGCCUCUUAUGCAGUUACUUGGUCUGCUUUCUUCGCCAAUCUGCUUGACACGUGUACAUCAUUUGGCUGUCCAAAUUAUGCUGAAGAUAGUUGAGAAAAUAGGUUUGUUGAAGGAGUACUGACACCAAUUUUCGAAGCUGAGUUUAUUCCCUCAUGCAAAUUUCCUGUAUAGAAAGAUGGCUCUAAACAAGUGUGAAGCUCAGUGAAUGCUGACGUCAGGUACGAAAACAUUCAAAAUGGCCACU